GGUUCAUCAGCACCAGGACUACUUAACAGUACAGAGAAGAUAGGCAUGGUCCCUACACAAGGACGAUGCAAAAAUCCAUAAAGUACUCCGUAUUUUA
RNAcentral lists this small nuclear RNA (97 nucleotides) under Microtus ochrogaster (prairie vole). Lineage: Eukaryota; Metazoa; Chordata; Mammalia; Rodentia; Cricetidae. The record is from RNAcentral.